Molecule: ribosomal RNA, 253 nt
Filed under: uncultured bacterium
Lineage: Bacteria
Description: partial 16S ribosomal RNA
Rfam family: Bacterial small subunit ribosomal RNA
Source: RNAcentral
UACGUAGGGGGCGAGCGUUGUCCGGAAUCAUUGGGCGUAAAGCGCGUGUAGGCGGCCCGGUAAGUCCGCUGUGAAAGUCCAGGGCCCAACCCUGGGAUGCCGGUGGAUACUGUCGGGCUCGAGUCCGGAAGAGGCGAGUGGAAUUCCUGGUGUAGCGGUGAAAUGCGCAGAUAUCAGGAGGAACACCAAUGGCGAAGGCAGCUCGCUGGGACGUGACUGACGCUGAGACGCGAAAGCGUGGGGAGCAAACAGG